AUGGAGCGAUCAACGCGGGGAGCAAUGGCGGCCCGGUCGUGGCUGCUCCUGCUCCUCGGCCUCGCCGGCGUGCUCCAUGUUCACGGCCAGCGCGCGCCCGACAGCACCGGUUUCGUCAGCAUCGACUGCGGCCUGCCGGAGCAGGCCGGCGGCUACGUGGACGCCGCCACCAAGCUGCCGUACGUCCCGGACGGCGCCUACACCGACGCCGGCGCCAACCACAACAUCUCCCCAGAGUACAUCAAGCCAGCCUCGUCGAAACGCUAUCUCAACGUCCGCAGCUUCCCCGGCGUGGCCCGGAGCUGCUACACGCUCCCGUCCACCGUCGCCCGGGGGUCCAAGUACCUGCUCCGUGCGACCUUCAUGUACGGCAACUAUGACGGGCUGAGCCGGCUCCCCGUCUUCGACCUCCAUCUCGGCGUCAACUUCUGGCGGACCAUGAACAUCACCACGGCCGACAAGCCGCAGCUAGCCGAGAUCAUCGCCGUCGUCCCCGACGAGUCCGUGCAGGUGUGCCUCGUGGACACCGGCUCCGGGACGCCCUUCAUCUCCGCGCUCGACCUGAGGCCCGUCAGGGACACGCUGUACCCGCAGGCGAACGCGACGCAGGCGCUGGUCCUCGUCGACCGGACCAACUUCGGCCUCAGCGGCGCCGCGCUGGUCAGGUACCCGGAGGACCCGUACGACCGCGUGUGGAUCGCGUGGAGCGAGAUCGACUCAAAUGAAUGGACGGAGAUCUCGACGCCGGAGAAGGUGAAGGAGCUGUCCGACCCCCGCUUCAACGCGCCGUCCGCCGUGAUGCAGACCGCCAUCACGCCGCGCAACGGCUCCCGGUCGGCGUCGUCCAGGACCAUCGAGCUGUCGUGGGACGCGGCGCCCAACCAUGCGUACCCGGACCCCGGGGUCAUCGGCAUCGUCUACUUCGCGGAGCUGGAGGCCGUGGCCGCCGCGCGCCAGUUCGAGAUGGCCAUCAACGGCAAGCUGUGGAGCAAGGCCCCCUUCACGCCGCAGCACCUCGUCUGCGACGCCUUCUUCAACAGCGAGGCCCACCGGGGGUUCGGCGGCCACUACAACAUCACCCUCAACGCCACGGCCAACUCCACGCUGCUGCCCACCAUCAACGCCGCCGAGUUCUUCUCCGUCGUCUCCACGGCCAACGUCGCAACAGACGCCAAGGACGUUGCGGCCAUGGCUGCGAUCAAGGCAAAGUAUGAUGUGAAGAAGAACUGGGCGGGUGACCCCUGCGCUCCCAAGACUCUGGUGUGGGAAGGGCUGAACUGCAGCUAUGCCAUUUCUAUGCCUCCAAGAAUCACAAGAUUAAAUAUGUCAUUUGGCGGUUUGAACGGCGGCAUACCAUCCCAUUUCACCAACCUCAAAGCAAUCAAGUAUUUGGACUUGUCAUACAACAACUUUACAGGACCAAUUCCUAAUGCUCUUUCAGAACUACCCUUCCUCGUGGUGCUGGACUUGACUGGCAACCAGCUUAAUGGAUCCAUCCCCUCCGGGCUUAUGAAGAGAAUGCAAGAUGGCUCCCUAACUCUAAGAAACGGCAAAAAUCCAAACCUUUGCAGCAACGGUACCUCUUGCGAGCCCACCAAAAAGAAGAGCAAAUCCAUGCUUGCCGUGUACAUUGCCGUUCCAAUACUUGCAGUUGUGGUGAUAGGAGGAUUGGCAGUGCUACUUCUCAUAAUGAGAAAAAAGCAAGGAUCAAGAAAGGGCAGUGUGAAGCCACAGAACGAGGCCGGUGGCGUGCAUUCGCAGUCGCGGAACGGCGACACGCACAGCCUGCUGCAGCUGGACAACCGUCGGUUCACGUACAAGGACCUACAGGUCAUGACGAACAACUUCAAGACGGUGCUCGGCCGGGGAGGUUUUGGCUCCGUAUACGACGGCUUCCUGGCGGAUGGCACGCAGGUGGCGGUCAAGCUGCGGUCUGAGUCCUCCAGUCAAGGCGUCAGAGAGUUCCUCACAGAGGCUCAUACCUUGACAAAGAUUCACCAUAAAAAUCUUGUGUCCAUGGUUGGUUACUGCAAGGAUGGGGAGCACAUGGCGCUUGUCUACGAGCAUAUGUCUGAAGGAAACCUCGAGGACAAACUCAGAGGGAAAGAUAGUGAUAGUAGAUCUUUAACUUGGAGGCAGAGGCUUCGUAUUGCAAUGGAGUCUGCGCAAGGGCUGGAAUAUCUACACGUUGCAUGCAGCCCAGCCUUUGUGCAUCGGGAUGUGAAGACAUCAAACAUCCUAUUGAAUGUGAAUCUCGAGGCCAAGGUCGCUGACUUUGGCUUGCUCAAGGCUUUCAAUCAGGAUGGUGACACACAUGUAUCUACAGCCAGAUUGGUUGGCACACAUGGCUACCUUGCCCCUGAGUACGCGGCAGCCCUGCAGCUCACCGAGAAAAGUGACGUAUACAGCUUUGGUAUCAUGUUGUUGGAAGUUAUAACGGGGAGAUCACCCAUCCUACAAUGCCCAGAACCAACUAAUAUCAUCCAAUGGGUUCGACAACACCUUGCACGGGGCAACAUUGAAGACGUGGCAGACAUUCGCAUACGAGGUGACUAUGAUAUCAAUAGUGUGUGGAAAGUCGCGGACGUCGCGCUCAAAUGCACUGCACAAGCUCCUACUCAGCGACCCACGAUGACCGAGGUGGUAGCGCAACUACAAGAGUGUCUCAAGCUAGAGGAACAACACAUGAUUUAA
Molecule: ribosomal RNA, 2694 nt
Filed under: Triticum aestivum (bread wheat)
Lineage: Eukaryota; Viridiplantae; Streptophyta; Magnoliopsida; Poales; Poaceae
Description: partial small subunit ribosomal RNA
Source: RNAcentral